UGUAGUUUAAUGGUGGAGUAUGUGCUUGGCAUGCAUGAAACUCUGGGUUCAAUCCCCAGCA
RNAcentral lists this transfer RNA (61 nucleotides) under Heterocephalus glaber (naked mole-rat). It matches the Rfam family "tRNA", at positions 6 to 65 of the family's 71-position model. Rfam says of the family: Transfer RNA (tRNA) molecules are approximately 80 nucleotides in length. Their secondary structure includes four short double-helical elements and three loops (D, anti-codon, and T loops). Further hydrogen bonds mediate the characteristic L-shaped molecular structure. tRNAs have two regions of fundamental functional importance: the anti-codon, which is responsible for specific mRNA codon recognition, and the 3' end, to which the tRNAs corresponding amino acid is attached (by aminoacyl-tRNA synthetases). tRNAs cope with the degeneracy of the genetic code in two manners: having more than one tRNA (with a specific anti-codon) for a particular amino acid; and 'wobble' base-pairing, i.e. permitting non-standard base-pairing at the 3rd anti-codon position. The record is from Rfam by way of RNAcentral. Lineage: Eukaryota; Metazoa; Chordata; Mammalia; Rodentia; Bathyergidae.